This is a small nuclear RNA of Cervus hanglu yarkandensis (Yarkand deer), 109 nucleotides long. NCBI's taxonomy places the organism in Eukaryota, Metazoa, Chordata, Mammalia, Artiodactyla, Cervidae. The record is from Ensembl.
UGGUGCUCGCUUCUGCCACAAAUAUAAUAAAAAUGGAACGAUACAGAGAAGAUCAGCAUGGCCCUUGUGCAAGGAUGACACGCAAAUUUGUGAAGCGUUCCAUAUCUUG